This 145-nucleotide transfer RNA is filed under the name Alectoria fallacina. RNAcentral's name for it is "tRNA-Val". The record is from RNAcentral. Lineage: Eukaryota; Fungi; Ascomycota; Lecanoromycetes; Lecanorales; Parmeliaceae.
GGUCGAAUGGUGUAGUUGGGUAAGCUAUAUCAUUCAGCACUGUGCAAUAUGAAGCGGUAAAAGCUAAUGCGUUGUUUCCCUAGUUAUCACGUGUCCUUAACAAGAUUUACGGACAAGGUCCUGAGUUCGAUCCUCAGUUUGAUCA